GUGCCCAGUUCAGCAGCACAUAUACUAAAAUUGGAAUAACACAGAUUAGCAAGACCCCAUGCAUGCAUAGUUGUAUAUUCAUGAAGCAUUGCAUAUUUUU
Cricetulus griseus (Chinese hamster) is the source of this 100-nucleotide small nuclear RNA. The record is from Ensembl. Lineage: Eukaryota; Metazoa; Chordata; Mammalia; Rodentia; Cricetidae.